Molecule: non-coding RNA, 52 nt
Organism: Myotis lucifugus (little brown bat)
Lineage: Eukaryota; Metazoa; Chordata; Mammalia; Chiroptera; Vespertilionidae
Source: Rfam
CCUUUAGAGUAGGUAUGUCCCAGGCAAUAUUUGGGAUAUACUUAUACUAAAA